GACGAACGCUGGCGGCGUGCUUAACACAUGCAAGUCGAACGGAAAGGCCCUGCUUUUUUGGGGUGCUCGAGUGGCGAACGGGUGAGUAACACGUGAGUAACCUGCCCUUCACUUUGGGAUAACUUCAGGAAACUGGGGCUAAUCCCGGCUAGGAGCUCUUGCUGCUGGGUGGGGGUGGGAAAGUUUCGCCGGUUGGUGAUGGACUCGCGUCUUAUCAGCUUGUUGGUGGGGUAGUGGCUUACCAAGGCUUUGACGGGUAGCCGGCCUGAGAGGGUGACAGGCCACAUGGGGACUGAGCUACGGCCCAGACUCCUACGGGAGGAAGAAGUGGGGAAUAUUGCACAAUGGGAGGAAGCAUGAUGCAGCAACGCCGCGUGCGGGAUGACGGCAUUCGGGUUGUAAACCGCUUUCGCCUGUGACGAAGCGUGAGUGACGGUAAUGGGUAAAGAAGCACCGGCUAACUACGUG
This 468-nucleotide ribosomal RNA is filed under the name uncultured bacterium. Its description in RNAcentral is "partial 16S ribosomal RNA". It matches the Rfam family "Bacterial small subunit ribosomal RNA", at positions 28 to 507 of the family's 1533-position model. The record is from RNAcentral.